GAGCGUUCUGUAAGCCUGCGAAGGUGUCUUGUGAAGGAUGCUGGAGGUAUCAGAAGUGCGAAUGCUGACAUGAGUAGCGAUAAUGGGGGUGAAAAGCCUCCACGCCGUAAGCCCAAGGUUUCCUGUUCAACGUUCAUCGGAGCAGGGUGAGUCGGCCCCUAAGGCGAGGCAGAGAUGCGUAGCUGAUGGGAAGCAGGUUAAUAUUCCUGCACCGUCGUAUGAUGCGAUGGGGGGACGGAUCGCGGAAGGUUGUCUGACUCUUGGAAUA
RNAcentral lists this ribosomal RNA (268 nucleotides) under Heterosigma akashiwo. RNAcentral's name for it is "partial Bacterial large subunit ribosomal RNA". It matches the Rfam family "Bacterial large subunit ribosomal RNA", at positions 1234 to 1505 of the family's 2925-position model. Lineage: Eukaryota; Raphidophyceae; Chattonellales; Chattonellaceae. The record is from RNAcentral.